This 87-nucleotide transfer RNA is filed under the name Methylacidiphilales bacterium. RNAcentral describes it as "Candidatus Methylacidiphilales bacterium tRNA-Ser". It matches the Rfam family "tRNA". From Rfam's summary of the family: Transfer RNA (tRNA) molecules are approximately 80 nucleotides in length. Their secondary structure includes four short double-helical elements and three loops (D, anti-codon, and T loops). The record is from RNAcentral. Lineage: Bacteria; Pseudomonadati; Verrucomicrobiota; Methylacidiphilae; Methylacidiphilales. RNAcentral also lists the same sequence under 1 other name.
GGAAGGGUGUCCGAGUGGUUUAUGGAUGCAGUCUUGAAAACUGCCGUAGCCGAAAGGUUACCGUGGGUUCGAAUCCCACCCCUUCCG